Molecule: ribosomal RNA, 253 nt
Filed under: uncultured bacterium
Lineage: Bacteria
Description: partial 16S ribosomal RNA
Rfam family: Bacterial small subunit ribosomal RNA
Source: RNAcentral
UACAGAGGGUGCAAGCGUUAAUCGGAAUUACUGGGCGUAAAGGGCGCGUAGGCGGUUUAUUAAGUCAGAUGUGAAAUCCCCGGGCUUAACCUGGGAAUUGCAGUUGAUACUGGUCGCCUAGAGUACGAGAGAGGGAGGUAGAAUUUCCUGUGUAGCGGUGAAAUGCGUAGAUAUCUGGAGGAAAACCGGUGGCGAAGGCGGCCUCCUGGCUCGAUACUGACGCUGAGGUGCGAAAGCGUGGGGAUCAAACAGG